CAUUGGAACCAACACAGAGACCUUCAGUUGAGGAUGUGCUUUGGAACUUACAAUUUGCUGCUCAAGUCCAAGAAUCUUGGAGGGGAGACUCUCAAAGUAGUGAGGAAUCAUCACUUUCACCUUCCCAGCCGCCUCAAUCACCAAUCAUACUGAAUUAGGAACACGAAAUAUAACAUGAUAGUUGAUCGGCUUCUCAUUCCCAAGCAGCUAGGAUCAAGGAUUGAAGCCUGUAAAUGUGUUGGUCUUGACAAAACUGAUGAGUGUUAUGAAGAUACCUAUCCAUCAAUCACCAUUAGAUGGGGUCUUCAAUAUUUUUACUGUCUCAACCUGAAGUUCCAAUCUAACUUCACCAGAGAAAGAAAUCCUGCAAGAUGAAUAUCAGAUUUCAUGUCUAUCCUCAAUUUGUACUUACCCUAGGAAUAUUCUUCUUCCUUUUCGACAUGGCCCCAUGUUAUUAUAAAUUCAAACAUGGGCAAUGACUAAGAACAUCCAUGAUGUCUUGCAUGACUUUGCAUUGGCAAGAGCUGUGUGCAUUGGGUUGUCUUCUUAUGAUAUCUUCUUCCUAUG
Molecule: non-coding RNA, 567 nt
Organism: Musa acuminata subsp. malaccensis (wild Malaysian banana)
Lineage: Eukaryota; Viridiplantae; Streptophyta; Magnoliopsida; Zingiberales; Musaceae
Source: RefSeq, a predicted model, not a curated record